UGGAGUCACAUAGUUGAUGGUCAUCAAGAUUCUUAAUGUUCUCUGUAGAUAACAUCACCUUUUCAAAACCUAAAGGUUUAGAAAUUAAAGGUAGUUUCUAUGGUAUCUCCCAGGCCCAACAUUCCAGUGGAUUGGCUGAUCCACCCAGACCAGGGGACCAUACCAACAAACUCUCUCAACUGGAAUUGUGACCCCCAACCCAGGAACUGACUCAACACAAGAAGAUAAUUUCUACACACCUGUAAUUUGGCCUUAAACCUAAAUAAUUAACAAACAAGUGCCUAAUCCCUGGCCUGCCAAACUACCUUUAAAAACCCUGUCUUCCAAAUUCCUGGGGAUGCGGAUUUGAGAUACUUCCCCCACCCCGUCGUCUCCCUGCUUAGUGCUCUGCAGAAGUAAACCCUUUCUCCACUGUAACUGUGGCAGCCUCAGUUUAUUGGCUCUUUUUCAUGUAGCAGGCAAUAUAACCCAGUUGGGCGGCAACACUGUGUCUUACCUGUACUUGUGACAUACAGAAUGGUGAAACAACAAAUGAGUGCUGUUUUAAGCUGAUAAAUUUGUGCUAAUUAUGGCAGUAAUCGGAAACUAAUACACUAAUAAAUAUUGUUGUGCAAGGUCAAACAAAAAGGCAGGAAGGAAGAAAUGCAUUUUCAGACAUGCUAUCCAAACGUAAGUGGUUCUUUAGAUGCUGGCAAAUUUGUUACAUAAAGGAUCAACAUACCCUCUUGAACAGGGAAAGAACAGGCUUAAUAUUGCAAUUUUUCUUAGGAAAAACUUGGAGAGAUUCACAUACCCAAACUGAAUUUUAAAGUAAUGCAGGUCAAAUACAUUAGGAGUAUAGCAUAUGAUAAGACUAUUUGCUUUGACUGCUUUUGAUAUAAAGAGAUUUAUAUUAAAACUUCCCAACAUUUGGGCAAAACAUCCUCUUAUGACUCAAUGGGCUUUCUUUUACAGGGUUAGGGAAACAGUCUGCACCACAAAACACAGCAAAGUUAAACAGUUGCAUACAGAGAGAUCAUACACAUAGCCCUGUCAUUACCACUAUAUUAAAGAGAUAACCAUCUAAGGGCUCAACACAGCAAACAGGUAACUGCACAAGAAGUUCUUAACUGACAAAAUUGGAUAUAGACAAAUCAAUGGAACCAGAUAGGAUUUAUCCAGAAGCUCUAGAGGAACACAGGGUGAAACUGUGGACUUGGGGUCAAAAUCCUGAUACUAUAUCACUUACAAAAUCACCACGUCAACAGAUAGGCUGAAUAUAACUGCAACCCCCAUAAGACGGGCUCCAGAGACUCUGAUAUCCCACACAGAGCCAAUGGUAGAAAACACCCAUGGUCUGGAAGCUACCAUGUGACCCUGCCCUGUGAUGUUAACCUGAGAGUCAAGUGGUGAGUGAAGAGGCAGGUAGGCAUGGUCUGGGGAAAGGGGCCUGGAGAUGGACAGACCAGCUCUGCUACUUGAGGAACACCAGUAACACUCAGCUGUUUGGACCUAAUUUUGUAAAAUGGAGGUGAGAGAAUAGCCCCCAACAUUGUGGUUGUAAGCAUUUAACAAACCUAUAAACAGCAUUUACACCCUUCAAGGGCUUUACUAACAUUAUCUCUUAGGAGGUGUGUGUUAUCAUUAUCCCCAUUUUACACGCAAGGAAACAAACACAGAAAAGUAAAGACAUUUGCUGAGAUUUGUAACAUGUCAGCAGAUGUGGGAUUCAAAGCCCAGACUCCAGAAGCAGCCUGAGAAGCUCAUGUCACUAAUAUUAGAAAUACAGUGUGAACUAAAAUAAAAUCUUAACGGUUCUCCCCCAACCUCCACCCCAGCACAGGCUGAAUGGACACCCUCUUGGCCAAGGGGAUAUCCUAAAACUAAAUUGCCUACCACAAGGAGAGAGGUAAGACAUGCCUUAUCAUGGCUCCUUGCCUCUUUCCCCCUUCUUGAAGACAUCCUUUGUAAUCCAUGAACAGGCCUAAGGGUAUGCAAGACAAACCUUCAGGUCCCUCAAUUUACACAACACAUAUGUCUGGUGGUUUAUCUCCAGUUAACAGCUCCUUAUCUUAAAACAUUCCAAGGCUUUAUACAAAGCUUCAGGUCUUUAACCAAUUGAAAGUCAAAGUAUCUUAUAUAACCUGUAAGCCCCCUGCUUUGGGAUGGCCCACCUUUUCAGGCCAAAACAAUGUAUGCCUUCCAUGUAUUGAUUUGUGACUUUACCUGCAACCCCCGUCUCCCUGCAAUGUAUAAAACCAAACUGUAACCCAACCACAGAGAGUCCACGUGCUCAAGGCUACUUGGGCAUGGUUCUGGGUCACUGUCCUCAAAUUUGGCUCAGAAUAAAUCUCUUUAAAAUUAUUUUAAAGAAUUUGGUUUCUUUUCCAUUAAAAACAAUAGAACAGGAAAGCCCAAGGACCCUCCCAAGCAUCCUGUAUCAGGGUUAGUAUCCUGGGGGGUCAUGUCAAUGGGCAAAACUCCACUGUCUAACACUACAUAAUCUCACUUUUUACUCUGAUUCUUUAAGAUGGAUGGACUUACCUGUGUCUGUAACUAUCACAAAAGCAUGUGAGCACACACACAACCAACCCUCACUAAUUAGGCUGCCAUAAAAUGCUGAGUUCAUCACUGUUCCCUGCCUGCUAGCAACUGCUAUCACUGAGAGAGCAAUUACUAGAACAUUCCAUCUACUGAAACAGUGCAGAUGUAUUUAUUCUUUAAGAGCAGAUGAAUAAACAUCUUUUACAUCAAUAAAAGAAACACUUCCUGAAAGAACAGCCUUGGUAAUAAACUAUCUAACAGAGAAAAAAAUAAAGUAACAGAAAGAAAAAAGAGAAAAAGAUCACAGCACACUAUCACCCCUUUGUUUGAUUAACCACUUCUGGCUUAACUUUGCUGCCUUUAACAGUUUGUUUUUACAGCAUUUUAAAAAACUGAGCAGACAGAAGAAUGACCUCCACCCAGUUCCUGCCAGACCACAUUCCAAGGACUAAGAUAAAGCCAGCCUGGCAGAAAGAAGAGGACACACACACCCCUCACAGCUGCCCCAUUAUCAGCUCCCAGCAGCACUUUUUCUUUUCCCUUUAUCCCAAUAACCAGCCCCCCUACACCCCUCAAUCUCGGGACUAGCACUACUUCUUUCUUUUGUGCCGUGCCCUUUAUCCCUUGGAAAGUAAACGUUUUGCUUUAAAUCUA
Non-coding RNA from Microcebus murinus (gray mouse lemur), 3177 nucleotides. The record is from RefSeq and is a predicted model, not a curated record. NCBI's taxonomy places the organism in Eukaryota, Metazoa, Chordata, Mammalia, Primates, Cheirogaleidae.